RNAcentral lists this ribosomal RNA (447 nucleotides) under uncultured Pelagibacterales bacterium. RNAcentral describes it as "bacterial SSU rRNA". It matches the Rfam family "Bacterial small subunit ribosomal RNA", at positions 1069 to 1533 of the family's 1533-position model. Lineage: Bacteria; Pseudomonadati; Pseudomonadota; Alphaproteobacteria; Candidatus Pelagibacterales. The record is from RNAcentral.
GAGAUGUGGGUAGUCCGCACGAGCGCACCUCACUUUUAGUUGCCAUCAUUAAGUUGGGCACUCUGAAAGAACUGCCAGUGAUAAGCUGGAGGAAGGUGGGGAUGACGUCAAGUCCUCAUGGCCCUUACGUGUUGGGCUACACACGUGCUACAAUGGCAUCUACAACAGGAAGCAAAACGGCAACGUUAAGCAAAUCCCAAAAAGAUGCCUCAGUUCGGAUUGCACUCUGCAACUCGAGUGCAUGAAGCUGGAAUUACUAGUAAUCGUGGAUCAGCGUGCCACGGUGAAUGCGUUCCCGGGUCUUGUACACACCGCCCGUCACACCAUGGGAGUUGGUUCUACCUUAAGGCAAGGUUUAAAACCCUUGACCACGGUAUAGUCAGCGACUGGGGUGAAGUCGUAACAAGGUAGCCGUAGGGGAACCUGCGGCUGGAUUACCUCCUUUCU